CACUGAAGUUGAAUACAAACAGUCGUUCAAUGAUGAUGAAAAGUAUAGGACAUCUUCAACAGUAUUCAUUCUACUAUAUCAACCAUGAAGGGCUCAACGUGAUGAUACCAGUUUAUUCCGUGCAUGAAGCUGUGAAUCGUGCAAUGCACUUGUUUCGAGGACAGUCCACCUUGUAUCUGUACGUAUGGGAUCGAUUUUGCUCGUCUUUGCAUGAUGUCAAGGAAGAAGACGAGAACAAAGCAAUCAUCAAAAAUGAGUUAUAAUCGAUCAACCACGGCAGUACGCUGUCACUCAACUAUUUUCUUGCUAUUCAUUCCUUUACUAAAUUGGUCGUAAUACAAUGUUCUCAUUGUUAUAUUCUUAUUCUAGUUAUCCGUAGUUUCCUGAAUGCUCACUCCACCCUUUGACUUAUACUCUCAAUGGGCAAGACCUAGAGAGAGUAGAGGUGGCUGAAAUGUAUGUCAGCUCAGUAAUGGGAAAACAAUUUCAUCCCACACCUUUCGGGCAAGAGGUGACCUUUAGACAGAGCAAAUAGCCCGUGGAUUGGAGCCAGACCGUCUAGGAAAAUCCCCUCAGCUCGAUGUCAAAGGCCAAACUCAGGAUCCACAUCAACUCUAACAUGAAGACAGUCCAUGCAUCGGUCAAUUUACGUAACCCCUAGGCUCUUGAAGACAUUCCUCCACCGUUGCCCGUAUUACGUAAACCAUGUGUUACCAUUUGCAGCCUGGGUUGAACGAUUCAAGUACGUUCCCAGGGGCAAACAUUGUAAGGCAGACAAACAGAUCCCUUGAAAAUUGGCGCCUUCCUUUAAUAUAUCCCUGUCUGGUCCGGUCUUUUGAAACCGCCUUCAUCCAACCCUGAGCAAGGUGAUGCUGGAUUGUUUGUGGUCUUGUGUCGCCGUCAACCUUCAAUCAAGCCAAGACCAAGAAGAGAUAUCGGCGGAUGGAUAUCGUUCGCAUUAAAGGUGGCCUCUUACCUGCUUGUGUUC
Molecule: long non-coding RNA, 988 nt
Organism: Tigriopus californicus
Lineage: Eukaryota; Metazoa; Arthropoda; Copepoda; Harpacticoida; Harpacticidae
Exons: 3
Source: RefSeq, a predicted model, not a curated record